This 344-nucleotide ribosomal RNA is filed under the name uncultured bacterium. Its description in RNAcentral is "partial 16S ribosomal RNA". It matches the Rfam family "Bacterial small subunit ribosomal RNA", at positions 355 to 690 of the family's 1533-position model. The record is from RNAcentral.
UAGGGAAUCUUCGGCAAUGGACGAAAGUCUGACCGAGCAACGCCGCGUGAGUGAAGAAGGUUUUCGGAUCGUAAAACUCUGUUGGGUAGAGAAGAACGUUGGUGAGAGUGGAAAGCUCAUCAAGUGACGGUAACUACCCAGAAAGGGACGGCUAACUACGUGCCAGCAGCCGCGGCAAUACGUAGGUCCCGAGCGUUGUCCGGAUUUAUUGGGCGUAAAGCGAGCGCAGGUGGUUUAUUAAGUCUGGUGUAAAAGGCAGUGGCUCAACCAUUGUAUGCAUUGGAAACUGGUAGACUUGAGUGCAGGAGAGGAGAGUGGAAUUCCAUGUGUAGCGGUGAAAUGCG